This 450-nucleotide ribosomal RNA is filed under the name uncultured bacterium. RNAcentral's name for it is "partial 16S ribosomal RNA". It matches the Rfam family "Bacterial small subunit ribosomal RNA", at positions 354 to 796 of the family's 1533-position model. The record is from RNAcentral.
GUAGGGAAUCUUCGGCAAUGGACGAAAGUCUGACCGAGCAACGCCGCGUGAGUGAAGAAGGUUUUCGGAUCGUAAAACUCUGUUGGUAGAGAAGAACGUUGGUGAGAGUGGAAAGCUCAUCAAGUGACGGUAACUACCCAGAAAGGGACGGCUAACUACGUGCCAGCAGCCGCGGUAAUACGUAGGUCCCGAGCGUUGUCCGGAUUUAUUGGGCGUAAAGCGAGCGCAGGUGGUUUAUUAAGUCUGGUGUAAAAGGCAGUGGCUCAACCAUUGUAUGCAUUGGAAACUGGUAGACUUGAGUGCAGGAGAGGAGAGUGGAAUUCCAUGUGUAGCGGUGAAAUGCGUAGAUAUAUGGAGGAACACCGGUGGCGAAAGCGGCUCUCUGGCCUGUAACUGACACUGAGGCUCGAAAGCGUGGGGAGCAAACAGGAUUAGAUACCCCAGUAGUCC